This 503-nucleotide ribosomal RNA is filed under the name uncultured bacterium. Its description in RNAcentral is "bacterial SSU rRNA". It matches the Rfam family "Bacterial small subunit ribosomal RNA", at positions 1 to 507 of the family's 1533-position model. The record is from RNAcentral.
UGAGUACGUAGUUUGACUCCGUGGCUCGAGGACGAACGCUGGCGGCGUGCCUAACACAUGCAAGUCGAGCGGAGAUUGAGGAAGAGCUUGCUCGGAAUCAAUCUUAGCGGCGGACGGGUGAGUAACGCGUGAGCAACCUGCCUUUCACAGGGGGAUAACGCAGCGAAAGCUGUGCUAAUACUGCAUAAUAUCGAUUUAAGGCAUCUUAGAAUGAUUAAAGUUUCGACGGAUACGGAUUGGCUCGCGUGACAUUAGCUAGAUGGUAAGGUAACGGCUUACCAUGGCGACGAUGUCUAGGGGUUCUGAGAGGAAGGUCCCCCACACUGGAACUGAGACACGGUCCAGACUCCUACGGGAGGCAGCAGUGAGGAAUAUUGGGCAAUGGGGGAAACCCUGACCCAGCAACGCCGCGUGAAGGAAGAAGGCCUUCGGGUUGUAAACUUCUUUUACCAGGGACGAAGAACGUGACGGUACCUGGAGAAAAAGCAACGGCUAACUACGUG